GAUGAACGCUGGCGGCGUGCCUAAUACAUGCAAGUCGAGCGAACGGACGAGAAGCUUGCUUCUCUGAUGUUAGCGGCGGACGGGUGAGUAACACGUGGAUAACCUACCUAUAAGACUGGGAUAACUUCGGAAAACCGGAGCUAAUACCGGAUAAUAUUUUGAACCGCAUGGUUCAAAAGUGAAAGACGGUCUUGCAGUCACUUAUAGAUGGAUCCGCGCUGCAUUAGCUAGUUGGUAAGGUAACGGCUUACCAAGGCAACGAUGCAUAGCCGACCUGAGAGGGUGAUCGGCCACACUGGAACUGAGACACGGUCCAGACUCCUACGGGAGGCAGCAGUAGGGAAUCUUCCGCAAUGGGCGAAAGCCUGACGGAGCAACGCCGCGUGAGUGAUGAAGGUCUUCGGAUCGUAAAACUCUGUUAUUAGGGAAGAACAUAUGUGUAAGUAACUGUGCACAUCUUGACGGUACCUAAUCAGAAAGCCACGGCUAACUACGUG
This 497-nucleotide ribosomal RNA is filed under the name uncultured bacterium. RNAcentral's name for it is "partial 16S ribosomal RNA". It matches the Rfam family "Bacterial small subunit ribosomal RNA", at positions 28 to 507 of the family's 1533-position model. The record is from RNAcentral.